This 664-nucleotide ribosomal RNA is filed under the name uncultured marine microorganism. RNAcentral's name for it is "bacterial SSU rRNA". It matches the Rfam family "Bacterial small subunit ribosomal RNA", at positions 8 to 683 of the family's 1533-position model. The record is from RNAcentral.
AGAGUUUGAUCAUGGCUCAGGACGAACGCUGGCGGCGUGCUUAACACAUGCAAGUCGAACGGAAAGGCCCUGCUUAUGUGGGGUGCUCGAGUGGCGAACGGGUGAGUAACACGUGAGUAACCUGCCCUUGACUUUGGGAUAACUUCAGGAAACUGGGGCUAAUACCGGAUAGGAGCUCCUGCUGCAUGGUGGGGGUUGGAAAGUUUCGGCGGUUGGGGAUGGACUCGCGGCUUAUCAGCUUGUUGGUGGGGUAGUGGCUUACCAAGGCUUUGACGGGUAGCCGGCCUGAGAGGGUGACCGGCCACAUUGGGACUGAGAUACGGCCCAGACUCCUACGGGAGGCAGCAGUGGGGAAUAUUGCACAAUGGGCGGAAGCCUGAUGCAGCAACGCCGCGUGCGGGAUGACGGCCUUCGGGUUGUAAACCGCUUUCGCCUGUGACGAAGCGUGAGUGACGGUAAUGGGUAAAGAAGCACCGGCUAACUACGUGCCAGCAGCCGCGGUGAUACGUAGGGUGCGAGCGUUGUCCGGAUUUAUUGGGCGUAAAGGGCUCGUAGGUGGUUGAUCGCGUCGGAAGUGUAAUCUUGGGGCUUAACCCUGAGCGUGCUUUCGAUACGGGUUGACUUGAGGAAGGUAGGGGAGAAUGGAAUUCCUGGUGGAGCGGUG